UCUCCGAUUGUGUAUGGACAUCUCACGUACGCAGUCACCGUCUUUCCCCUCGCUGGUUGUCAGCAUCGUAUCCCGCCCACACGACCGCCGCCACUCAAAGCAAUGAAGAUCAAGAAGAAGGAUCUGCGCAAGCGCGAGGCGCAGCUGCCGAUCAACUACCCAGAUCCCGAUGUCCUUCCGGACUCACUGCCGGGGGGCGUCAUCGACCUCGAGUCGGAGAUGGUGCAGGUGGAGAUCCUGUGUAAGCGUCUGGCCCACAACGAGGUGGCGGUGCGUGAUGCCGUUCUGGCCGAGGUGCCGCACUAUCUGGAGCGACUCACCGAGGCCAUGGCCGCGAUGGAGAAAACUUACGAGGCUGAGAUCGCGGAGGUGAGGGCCUACUUCAAGGCGCAUCCGAAGACGCCGAACCCGUACCGCUAUGAGAACCUUCCACUGGCGCUGCAGCGGUUCCGGGAGAAGGAGGCCGAACAGGAGCGCGAGGACCGCCGGCGCGUGGCCAUGCGCGAGUUCCGCCAUCGGCAGGCUCAGGAGCGGCGUGACAAGGAGCUCUAUGGUCGCUACGACAACCCUGCAGGCGACUUCGCAGCGAACAACGAUGACGAUGUGGAAGCUGGUCUGAACGUCGGGCCGAAGCCAGUGCAUGUUUAUCAAGGCGAAAACGUGCACCGCGAGCGCUAUCAGACUUGGAUGGAGGCGUGGUGUGAUGUGGAGCUUGUGUUACUGAAGCUGUGCCGCGGCAUCCACUACUGCCUCUGGCACUCCGACAAGCCGCUCGUACAACUCGCCUGCGCGCAGAAGAUUGCGGACCUUCUUCAUGCCCCGCGGACGACGCGCUGCAAGGUGCUCUUUUAUGGGUGUCUCUUCCGCGUGCUGGCGCGCGAGUGGCCCACGAUCGACCGGUACCGCAUGGACAAGUACCUGGCCCUCGUGCGUCGUAUGGUGUUCGCGUACGUGAAGUUUGUGAAGGAUGUGCAUGGUGGCGAUGCAUCGGCUCCUUCAGCCGGUGCUUCUCCCCCGAAGCGAGAGAGCGCCGCCGCCGCGGCGCUGCGCUCGCCGACCGAGAGGAGCAAGAAGAGCGCUAAGCGCAGCCGCGACGACAAGGCCGCUGUGGCGGAGCCGGAGGCUGACACCGCCGCUCUUAGCGCGCUGUGGAAGACAGCUGCCGGUGUCUCUCAGGCCGCCUUGCACAAGUACAUCGGCACCGUUACGGCAACCGCAAACGUAGUGGGCGAAAUCUUCUACAUCCUGCAGCGUCAGAUCUUCUCGUCCAGCACGAGCGUCGGCCUGACGAUGCACAUCUGCGAUGUGGCGUUUGACGAGCUUGUCAGAGCUGAGCUUGACACCAACCUCUUCCUCGCCCUGUCCGCCGGGAUCCCCCUCUACGCCAUGAGCCAAGGCAACUACGUGGAGAAGCGAGUGCUGGAUAACUUUUUCCCCCCCCUGGCCGGCGGGGUGUACGCGCAGCGGAGGGCAGAGCAGCUAGCGCAGGCGAUGGCGGCCAAGGCACCGGCGACGCGGAAGCGCGCUAGCAAGCGAAACGGCAACGGAGACACCACAGCUUCGCUGGAGGCUGUUGAGGCAUUGGCCGCGGAGCAGGCGGUCGCUGAGGCUCGCACCGUGAUGCAGGAGAUCGCGUUUUUCUGCCGAAAGUAUGCCGUGGCCCGCGGUGUGGCGCAUGAGGUGCGUCCCAUGUUCUCCGAGGCAGAGCUCAUCAUGCGACAGUCGGCGGAUCCUGAGUCCUUCCAACCGCUGACGCCGACUGCUCAGCGUCGGCGCAUCGAGCGAGAGCUGAAGGAGGUGGACGGCACGCGUGAGAAGGUCCGUAGCGAGCGCCAGGCGAUGCGUGAAAUGAAGAAGCAGGACCGCCACGCAGCACUCAAAGAGCGGGUCGAGGCACGCGUGGCGGCUGUGGUGGCGGAGAAGGGCGAUAAGGCUGCGAGCGUGAGCAAGGCGGUGCUGCGAAAGAAAAUCAUCGCCGAGGAAAUGCGGGCGAAGAGAAAGCCGGUGCACAAUACGAAGCGCAAGAAAGCCUAUCACCUCACGAAGCAGGAUUUGUACGGCGACGCCGACGCGCAGGCUGACGGUGACUAGGUCGCUCGCAGUGUACUGCGUACUUCUCUCUAGUUUCCUCCCUCCGUACUUGGGUCGCGACACACGUGCGUCGAGGCGUAAUUGCACGUGACGACGUUAUCUGUGGUGGUGAUGGUGGCCGUGCUUGAGACUUCCGCGAGUUUUUCGAUGAACAUGCCUCUGACCCCCCACCCUGAACAUGCUCUUCACGAUACCGGGUGGGAAGAGGAACGCAAGCGGACGAAAAGAGAGUGACUCCGGCCUUCGCCCUUGACCUUGCUCUUUCCCUCCCGCUCCCUACCUUCUUGGAUUCUUCCUCUCUCUUGAAGGACGCGUGUUGCCGGAGUGACGUCUUUCCUUUGUUUCUCCUUUAUUUUUUUUUAGUGUGCUUGGGUUCUUCGCUGUUUGGUUAAUCGAAUAACGCGGAUCUAAUCGCUCGCCACCGCCACCACGGCAAAAUAAGACACGACAACAACAGCGUAAAAAGGGGAGGCGCCCAAAUAAAGUUCUCACAGAAGCGGAGGGAGACCGCAGAGCAGAUGCAAAGGAGAAGUACUCUGUGCUUUUUUGUUUUGCGGUCAUUCUAUUUGUGUGCGCGAGCUUUAGGGUCUCCUGCUCCGUGCGUCGUUCGCUUGCCGCAUUC
This 2713-nucleotide unclassified non-coding RNA is filed under the name Leishmania donovani. RNAcentral's name for it is "gene:LdHU3.16.1060(CDS-product:Nucleolar_proteinN op52_putative)". The record is from RNAcentral. Lineage: Eukaryota; Euglenozoa; Kinetoplastea; Trypanosomatida; Trypanosomatidae.